This 476-nucleotide long non-coding RNA is filed under the name Manihot esculenta (cassava). RNAcentral's name for it is "long non-coding RNA (MESC_LNC006989)". Lineage: Eukaryota; Viridiplantae; Streptophyta; Magnoliopsida; Malpighiales; Euphorbiaceae. The record is from RNAcentral.
UUUAGCAGUUCGUGGGUGUCAAUGAUUUCUUGAGGCAUGCUCUGUCAUGAAGAGACAUGAACAUGUAAGACCAAGAAGUGAUGGUGAAGAAAAACAUAGAAAUCAUUCAAGAAUACUUUCAAUUCCCAUCCUCCAACACCCAUCCAAUGUAAGUGACAUUAUUAACAUGUUGAUUCAUAUCCAAAUCUGCUAUUCUUGGCUGCAGAUUCAAAAUCAUGCUUACAAGUCAGGAUAAAAUGAUAAAACUGAAUGAACCUUAAUAAAUUGGAAUGAAAAUUGUGAUGAACACAUAGCUUACCACAAGUCCUAAUUUGGAAUAUUAAGCAGGAUCUUCUAGUUCUGAAAUCUUUUUCAAGCUGCGAUUAUUAUCCUCUGGAAACGCUAAUCUGUGAACACCGCCAAUCAAUCAAAAUGAGACAGAAUGCAGUCAAUUAUCCACAUAUUCUAUACAAUCAUGGCAAUCUCCUGGAAAAUUG